RNAcentral lists this ribosomal RNA (253 nucleotides) under uncultured bacterium. Its description in RNAcentral is "partial 16S ribosomal RNA". It matches the Rfam family "Bacterial small subunit ribosomal RNA", at positions 524 to 776 of the family's 1533-position model. The record is from RNAcentral.
UACGAACAGUACAAACGUUAUUCGGAAUCAUUGGGCUUAAAGGGUACGUAGGCCGUGUCGUAAGUCAGGUGUGAAAUCCCUCGGCUCAACUGAGGAACUGCGUCCGAAACUGCGGUGCUUGAGGGCUGCAGGGGAGAGCGGAACUGAUAGUGGAGCGGUGAAAUGCGUUGAGAUUUGGAGGAACACCAGUGGCGAAGGCGGCUUUCUGGAUAGUAUCUGACGCUGAGGCGCGAAAGCGUGGGGAGCGAACAGG